This 69-nucleotide transfer RNA is filed under the name Ictidomys tridecemlineatus (thirteen-lined ground squirrel). RNAcentral describes it as "Spermophilus tridecemlineatus (thirteen-lined ground squirrel) tRNA". It matches the Rfam family "tRNA". Rfam says of the family: Transfer RNA (tRNA) molecules are approximately 80 nucleotides in length. Their secondary structure includes four short double-helical elements and three loops (D, anti-codon, and T loops). Further hydrogen bonds mediate the characteristic L-shaped molecular structure. tRNAs have two regions of fundamental functional importance: the anti-codon, which is responsible for specific mRNA codon recognition, and the 3' end, to which the tRNAs corresponding amino acid is attached (by aminoacyl-tRNA synthetases). tRNAs cope with the degeneracy of the genetic code in two manners: having more than one tRNA (with a specific anti-codon) for a particular amino acid; and 'wobble' base-pairing, i.e. permitting non-standard base-pairing at the 3rd anti-codon position. The record is from Rfam by way of RNAcentral. Lineage: Eukaryota; Metazoa; Chordata; Mammalia; Rodentia; Sciuridae.
GGGGUUGUAGCUCAGUGGCUCAGUGCUUGCCUUGCAUGCAUGAGGCACUGAGUUCAAUCCUCAGCACCA